AUGCUAAAGAAUCAAAGUCCAGGUUGGUUGGUGAGCCUAGUGAUAGGAGACUGUCUAGCUUGGUUCGGAGAGCACUUGUUGGGUUUCAGAUUCGUUUUUUGCUAA
Molecule: ribosomal RNA, 105 nt
Filed under: Triticum aestivum (bread wheat)
Lineage: Eukaryota; Viridiplantae; Streptophyta; Magnoliopsida; Poales; Poaceae
Description: partial small subunit ribosomal RNA
Source: RNAcentral